Molecule: ribosomal RNA, 253 nt
Filed under: uncultured bacterium
Lineage: Bacteria
Description: partial 16S ribosomal RNA
Rfam family: Bacterial small subunit ribosomal RNA
Source: RNAcentral
GACGAAGGAUGCAAGCGUUAUCCGGAUUCAUUGGGUUUAAAGGGUGCGUAGGCGGGCAUUUAAGUCAGUGGUGAAAUACCUGGGCUUAACUUGGGAACUGCCAUUGAUACUAUUUGUCUUGAAUGUCGUGGAGGUUAGCGGAAUAUGUCAUGUAGCGGUGAAAUGCUUAGAUAUGACAUAGAACACCUAUUGCGAAGGCAGCUAACUACGCGAAUAUUGACGCUGAGGCACGAAAGCGUGGGGAUCAAACAGG